CACACACACACACACACACACACACACACACACACACACACACACACACUCCCAACACCUCCACAGGAAGCCCGUUCCAGGCCACUAUGAUGUAACAUCCUGUAAUCGCAGCACUUUGUUUCCCCACAGUGAGAAUUACUGCUUUUAAAAAAUGCUGAGAGAGAAAGUGUGUGUGUGUGUGUGUGUGUGUGUGUGUGUGUGUGUGUGUGUGGGUGUGUGUGUUCUUUCCUCCCAGCAACAUAUUUCAUGUUUAAUGUAGCUUUGCUGAAUACAUUCAGAGACAAAAAAGGAUACGGUAUGUCUGGGUUAUAGUCUGUCUGGGUUAUAGUCUGUUUGUGUUGUAGUCUGUCUGGGUUAUAGUCUGUCUGGGUUAUGGUCUGUCUGGGUUAUAGUCUGUCUGGGUUAUAGUCUGGGUUAUAGUCUGUCUGGGUUAUAGUCUGUAUGGGUUAUAGUCUGUUUGUGUUGUAGUCUGUCUGGGUUAUAGUCUGUCUGGGUUAUGGUCUGUCUGGGUUAUAGUCUGUCUGGGUUAUAGUCUGUCUGGGUUAUGGUCUGUCUGGGUUAUAGUCUGUCUGGGUUAUAGUCUGUCUGGGUUAUAGUCUGUCUGGGUUAUAGUCUGUCUGGGUUAUGGUCUGUCUGGGUUAUAGUCUGUCUGGGUUAUAGUCUGUCUGGGUUAUAGUCUGUCUGGGUUAUAGUCUGUCUGGGUUAUAGUCUGGGUUAUAGUCUGUCUGGGUUAUAGUCUGUCUGGGUUAUAGUCUGUUUGUGUUGUAGUCUGUCUGGGUUAUAGUCUGUCUGGGUUAUGGUCUGUCUGGGUUAUAGUCUGUCUGGGUUAUAGUCUGUCUGGGUUAUGGUCUGUCUGGGUUAUAGUCUGUCUGGGUUAUAGUCUGUCUGGGUUAUAGUCUGUCUGGGUUAUGGUCUGUCUGGGUUAUAGUCUGUCUGGGUUAUAGUCUGUCUGGGUUAUAGUCUGUUUGUGUUGUAGUCUGUCUGGGUUAUAGUCUGUCUGGGUUAUAGUCUGUCUGGGUUAUGGUCUGUCUGGGUUAUAGUCUGUCUGGGUUAUGGUCUGUCUGGGUUAUAGUCUGUCUGGGUUAUAGUCUGUCUGGGUUAUAGUCUGUCUGGGUUAUAGUCUGUCUGGGUUAUGGUCUGUCUGGGUUAUAGUCAGGGUUACAGUCUGUCUGGGUUAUAGUCUGUCUGGGUUAUAGUCUGUUUGUGUUGUAGUCUGUCUGGGUUAUAGUCUGUUUGUGUUAUAGUCUGUCUGGGUUAUAGUCUGUCUGGGUUAUAGUCUGUCUGGGUUAUAGUCUGUCUGGGUUAUAGUCUGUCUGGGUUAUAGUCUGUCUGGGUUAUAGUCUGUCUGUGUUGUAGUCUGUCUGGGUUUUAGUCUGUCUGGGUUAUAGUCUGGGUUAUAGUCUGUCUGGGUUAUAGUCUGUCUGGGUUAUAGUCUGUCUGGGUUAUAGUCUGUCUGGGUUAUAGUCUGUCUGGGUUAUAGUCUGUCUGGGUUAUAGUCUGUCUGGGUUAUAGUCUGUCUGGGUUAUAGUCUGUCUGGGUUAUGGUCUGUCUGGGUUAUAGUCUGUCUGGGUUAUAGUCUGUCUGGGUUAUAGUCUGUCUGUGUUGUAGUCUGUCUGGGUUUUAGUCUGUCUGGGUUAUAGUCUGGGUUAUAGUCUGUCUGGGUUAUAGUCUGUCUGGGUUAUAGUCUGUUUGUGUUGUAGUCUGUCUGGGUUAUAGUCUGUCUGGGUUAUAGUCUGUCUGGGUUAUAGUCUGUUUGUGUUGUAGUCUGUCUGGGUUAUAGUCUGUUUGUGUUAUAGUCUGUCUGGGUUAUAGUCUGUCUGGGUUAUAGUCUGUCUGGGUUAUGGUCUGUCUGGGUUAUAGUCUGUCUGGUUUAUAGUCUGUCUGGGUUAUAGUCUGUCUGGGUUAUAGUCUGUCUGGGUUAUAGUCUGUCUGGGUUAUAGUCUGUCUGGGUUAUAGUCUGUCUGGGUUAUAGUCUGUCUGGGUUAUGGUCUGUCUGUGUUGUAGUGUGUCUGGGUUAUAGUCUGUCUGGUUUUUUUCCUAUUUUUUCAUUUAUUUAUUACCCCAUUUUCUCCACAAUUUCGUGGUUUCCAAUUGGUAGUUACAGUCUUGUCUCAUCGCUGCGACUCCCGUAUGGACUCGGGAGAGGCGAAGGUCGAGAGUCGUGCAUCCUCCGAAACACAACCCAAACCAAGCUGCAUUGCUUCUUGAAACACUUAACCCGGAAGCCACUCUGAUGUGUCAGAGAAGACACCGUACACCUGGUGACCUUGUCAGCAUUGCACCCGGUCUGCCACCUAGCUUCUGGGCCUGAGUAGCAGGCAGUUUACUUUGGGCAGGCUUUUCAUCCGGACGUGAAAAUACUGCCCCCUAUCCCAAAGAGUUUAAUGACAACAAAGUCAAGGUAUUGUAGUGGCCAUCACAAAGCCCUGACCUCAAUCCUAUAGAAAAUGUGUGGGCAGAACUGAAAAAGCGUGUGCGAGCAAGGAGGCCUACAAUCCUGGUGAUGCUGGUGAUCCUAACUGACCGAAAAAAAUGAUUUUUGUUUUGCUAAGAUUAAAUGUCCCAGGUGUUGUAUGUUUGUCUCUACCUGUGUGUUGGUUCCAGGUGUUGUAUGUUUGUCUCUACCUGUGUGUUGGUUCCAGGUGUUGUAUGUUUGUCUCUACCUGUGUGUUGGUUCCAGGUGUUGUAUGUUUGUCUCUACCUGGGUCCCAGGUGUUGUAUGUUUGUCUCUACCUGUGUGUUGGUCCCAGGUGUUGUAUGUUUGUCUCAACCUGUGUGUUGGUUCCAGGUGUUGUAUGUUUGUCUCAACCUGUGUGUUGGUCCCAGGUGUUGUAUGUUUGUCUCUACCUGUGUGUUGGUCCCAGGUGUUGUAUGUUUGUCUCUACCUGUGUGUUGGGUCCCAGGUGUUGUAUGUUUGUCUCUACCUGUGUGUUGGUCCCAGGUGUUGUAUGUUUGUCUCAACCUGUGUGUUGGUCCCAGGUGUUGUAUGUUUGUCUCUACCUGUGUGUUGGUCCCAGGUGUUGUAUGUUUGUCUCUACCUGUGUGUUGGUUCCAGGUGUUGUAUGUUUGUCUCUACCUGUGUGUUGGUUCCAGGUGUUGUAUGUUUGUCUCUACCUGGGUCCCAGGUGUUGUAUGUUUGUCUCUACCUGUGUGUUGGUCCCAGGUGUUGUAUGUUUGUCUCAACCUGUGUGUUGGUCCCAGGUGUUGUAUGUUUGUCUCAACCUGUGUGUUGGUCCCAGGUGUUGUAUGUUUGUCUCAACCUGUGUGUUGGUCCCAGGUGUUGUAUGUUUGUCUCAACCUGUGUGUUGGUCCCAGGUGUUGUAUGUUUGUCUCAACCUGUGUGUUGGUCCCAGGUGUUGUAUGUUUGUCUCUACCUGUGUGUUGGUUCCAGGUGUUGUAUGUUUGUCUCAUCCUGUGUGUUGGUCCCAGGUGUUGUAUGUUUGUCUCUACCUGUGUGUUGGUCCCAGGUGUUGUAUGUUUGUCUCUACCUGUGUGUUGGGUCCCAGGUGUUGUAUGUUUGUCUCUACCUGUGUGUUGGUCCCAGGUGUUGUAUGUUUGUCUCAACCUGUGUGUUGGGUCCCAGGUGUUGUAUGUUUGUCUCAUCCUGUGUGUUGGUCCCAGGUGUUGUAUGUUUGUCUCUACCUGUGUGUUGGUCCCAGGUGUUGUAUGUUUGUCUCAACCUGUGUGUUGGUCCCAGGUGUUGUAUGUUUGUCUCAACCUGUGUGUUGGUCCCAGGUGUUGUAUGUUUGACUCAACCUGUGUGUUGGGUUCCAGGUGUUGUACGCGGUGAAGGAUUGUGUAGACGCCCCCUCAGUGUGGUCAGUCCCAGGGGAGAGGAGUGUUUCUGUCCUCCUGGGGGAACUCCUGAAGUACACAGUCUACCAGAUACAGCUGGUAGCAUUCACACAGCUGGGGGACGGACCACCGAGCCCCAGAACACUACACAGGACCAAGGACGACGUUCCAGGUCCUCCAGUGAGGCUGUUGUUUCCAGAGGUUCGUCUGACGUCUGUCAGGGUGGUGUGGCAGCCGCCUACUGACCCCAACGGGAUUAUCAUGGGUGA
RNA transcript from Oncorhynchus keta (chum salmon), 4064 nucleotides. RefSeq lists it as uncharacterized. The transcript is spliced from 9 exons. Lineage: Eukaryota; Metazoa; Chordata; Actinopteri; Salmoniformes; Salmonidae. The record is from RefSeq and is a predicted model, not a curated record.